GGCCACUCUAUGGGGUCCGAUUAAGCCAUGCGAGUCAUGGGGCGCGCUCUGCGCGCACCGGCGGACGGCUCAGUAACACGUCGGUAACCUACCCUCGGGAGGGGGAUAACCCCGGGAAACUGGGGCUAAUCCCCCAUAGGCCUGGGGUACUGGAAGGUCCCCAGGCCGAAAGGGGCUCUGCCCGCCCGAGGAUGGGCCGGCGGCCGAUUAGGUAGUUGGUGGGGUAACGGCCCACCAAGCCGAAGAUCGGUACGGGCCAUGAGAGUGGGAGCCCGGAGAUGGACACUGAGACACGGGUCCAGGCCCUACGGGGCGCAGCAGGCGCGAAACCUCCGCAAUGCGGGAAACCGCGACGGGGGGACCCCCAGUGCCGUGGCACAGCCACGGCUUUUCCGGAGUGUAAAAAGCUCCGGGAAUAAGGGCUGGGCAAGGCCGGUGGCAGCCGCCGCGGUAAUACCGGCGGCCCAAGUGGUGGCCGCUAUUAUUGGGCCUAAAGCGUCCGUAGCCGGGCCCGUAAGUCCCUGGCGAAAUCCCACGGCUCAACCGUGGGGCUUGCUGGGGAUACUGCGGGCCUUGGGACCGGGAGAGGCGGGGGGUACCCCUGGGGUAGGGGUGAAAUCCUAUAAUCCCAGGGGGACCGCCAGUGGCGAAGGCGCCCCGCUGGAACGGGUCCGACGGUGAGGGACGAAGGCCAGGGGAGCGAACCGGAUUAGAUACCCGGGUAGUCCUGGCUGUAAAGGAUGCGGGCUAGGUGUCGGGCGAGCUUCGAGCUCGCCCGGUGCCGGAGGGAAGCCGUUAAGCCCGCCGCCUGGGGAGUACGGCCGCAAGGCUGAAACUUAAAGGAAUUGGCGGGGGAGCACUACAAGGGGUGGAGCGUGCGGUUUAAUUGGAUUCAACGCCGGGAACCUCACCGGGGGCGACGGCAGGAUGAAGGCCAGGCUGAAGGUCUUGCCGGACGCGCCGAGAGGAGGUGCAUGGCCGCCGUCAGCUCGUACCGUGAGGCGUCCACUUAAGUGUGGUAACGAGCGAGACCCGCGCCCCCAGUUGCCAGUCCUCCCCGCUGGGGAGGAGGCACUCUGGGGGGACCGCCGGCGAUAAGCCGGAGGAAGGAGCGGGCGACGGUAGGUCACUAUGCCCCGAAA
RNAcentral lists this ribosomal RNA (1142 nucleotides) under Thermococcus sp. Tc-1-85. RNAcentral's name for it is "bacterial SSU rRNA". It matches the Rfam family "Archaeal small subunit ribosomal RNA", at positions 21 to 1161 of the family's 1478-position model. The record is from RNAcentral. Lineage: Archaea; Methanobacteriati; Methanobacteriota; Thermococci; Thermococcales; Thermococcaceae.